UGGGGAAUUUUGGACAAUGGGCGAAAGCCUGAUCCAGCAAUGCCGCGUGUGUGAAGAAGGCCUUCGGGUUGUAAAGCACUUUUGUCCGGAAAGAAAUCCUUGGCUCUAAUACAGUCGGGGGAUGACGGUACCGGAAGAAUAAGCACCGGCUAACUACGUGCCAGCAGCCGCGGUAAUACGUAGGGUGCAAGCGUUAAUCGGAAUUACUGGGCGUAAAGCGUGCGCAGGCGGUUUGCUAAGACCGAUGUGAAAUCCCCGGGCUCAACCUGGGAACUGCAUUGGUGACUGGCAGGCUAGAGUAUGGCAGAGGGGGGUAGAAUUCCACGUGUAGCAGUGAAAUGCGUAGAGAUGUGGAGGAAUACCGAUGGCGAAGGCAGCCCCCUGGGCCAAUACUGACGCUCAUGCACGAAAGCGUGGGGAGCAAAACAGGAUUAGAUACCCUGGUAGUCCACGCCCUAAAACGAUGUCAACUAGUUGUUGGGGAUUCAUUUCCUUAGUAACGUAGCUAACGCGUGAAGUUGACCGCCUGGGGAGUACGGUCGCAAGAUUAAAACUUAAAGGAAUUGACGGGGUCAUAGCUG
RNAcentral lists this ribosomal RNA (581 nucleotides) under uncultured bacterium. RNAcentral's name for it is "partial 16S ribosomal RNA". It matches the Rfam family "Bacterial small subunit ribosomal RNA", at positions 355 to 932 of the family's 1533-position model. The record is from RNAcentral.